UGCGUGUCAGGGUUUCUCUGGGGUUUCGUCAGGCUCAUAACCUGAAGGUCGCAGGUUCAAAUCCUGCCCCCGUAACCA
Molecule: transfer RNA, 78 nt
Filed under: Alphaproteobacteria bacterium
Lineage: Bacteria; Pseudomonadati; Pseudomonadota; Alphaproteobacteria
Description: tRNA-Met
Rfam family: tRNA (bases 17-75)
About the family: Transfer RNA (tRNA) molecules are approximately 80 nucleotides in length. Their secondary structure includes four short double-helical elements and three loops (D, anti-codon, and T loops). Further hydrogen bonds mediate the characteristic L-shaped molecular structure. tRNAs have two regions of fundamental functional importance: the anti-codon, which is responsible for specific mRNA codon recognition, and the 3' end, to which the tRNAs corresponding amino acid is attached (by aminoacyl-tRNA synthetases). tRNAs cope with the degeneracy of the genetic code in two manners: having more than one tRNA (with a specific anti-codon) for a particular amino acid; and 'wobble' base-pairing, i.e. permitting non-standard base-pairing at the 3rd anti-codon position.
Source: RNAcentral